This 71-nucleotide transfer RNA is filed under the name Marmota monax (woodchuck). RNAcentral's name for it is "tRNA.Ala". It matches the Rfam family "tRNA". Rfam says of the family: Transfer RNA (tRNA) molecules are approximately 80 nucleotides in length. Their secondary structure includes four short double-helical elements and three loops (D, anti-codon, and T loops). Further hydrogen bonds mediate the characteristic L-shaped molecular structure. tRNAs have two regions of fundamental functional importance: the anti-codon, which is responsible for specific mRNA codon recognition, and the 3' end, to which the tRNAs corresponding amino acid is attached (by aminoacyl-tRNA synthetases). tRNAs cope with the degeneracy of the genetic code in two manners: having more than one tRNA (with a specific anti-codon) for a particular amino acid; and 'wobble' base-pairing, i.e. permitting non-standard base-pairing at the 3rd anti-codon position. The record is from RNAcentral. Lineage: Eukaryota; Metazoa; Chordata; Mammalia; Rodentia; Sciuridae.
GGGGUUGUGGCUCAGUGGUAGAGUGCUUGCCUAGCAUGUGUGAGGCACUGGGUUCAAUCCCCAGCACCACA